UUUAAUUGAAGAGUUUGAUCAUGGCUCAGAUUGAACGCUGGCGGCAGGCCUAACACAUGCAAGUCGAGCGGCAGCACAGAGAAACUUGUUUCUCGGGUGGCGAGCGGCGGACGGGUGAGUAAUGCCUGGGAAAUUGCCCUGAUGUGGGGGAUAACCAUUGGAAACGAUGGCUAAUACCGCAUGAUAGCUUCGGCUCAAAGAGGGGGACCUUCGGGCCUCUCGCGUCAGGAUAUGCCCAGGUGGGAUUAGCUAGUUGGUGAGGUAAGGGC
RNAcentral lists this ribosomal RNA (269 nucleotides) under Vibrio vulnificus. RNAcentral describes it as "partial 16S ribosomal RNA". It matches the Rfam family "Bacterial small subunit ribosomal RNA", at positions 1 to 264 of the family's 1533-position model. The record is from RNAcentral. Lineage: Bacteria; Pseudomonadati; Pseudomonadota; Gammaproteobacteria; Vibrionales; Vibrionaceae.